This 72-nucleotide transfer RNA is filed under the name Gemmataceae bacterium. Its description in RNAcentral is "tRNA-Gly". It matches the Rfam family "tRNA". Rfam says of the family: Transfer RNA (tRNA) molecules are approximately 80 nucleotides in length. Lineage: Bacteria; Pseudomonadati; Planctomycetota; Planctomycetia; Gemmatales; Gemmataceae. The record is from RNAcentral.
GCGCUUGUGAUGUAGUGGUCGCCAUGCCGCCGUGCCAAGGCGGAAGAGCGGGUUCGAUUCCCGCCUAGCGCU